CUCCUUUCUUCUUCUCAUCAUCCUCUGCUUGAACACUCUGAUCACCAAUCCCCCCCCUGCUCAUUCUCCACGUUCUUAGGGUCCCUCGUAUCCACUUGGACCGUUUCCACCUCCCCAUAUGUGAGUGCCUGAAAUUCAUCCUCAUCAGCCUUAGCCUCUUCCUUACCCUCCACAUCUGUCUCAGUUCCAUUAAACUCCAUAGUUUCUGUGACAGCAUCGCCAACUCCAUGACCCAUCACUUCCUCAGUCUUG
This 252-nucleotide long non-coding RNA is filed under the name Brassica napus (rape). Its description in RNAcentral is "long non-coding RNA (BNAP_LNC015491)". Lineage: Eukaryota; Viridiplantae; Streptophyta; Magnoliopsida; Brassicales; Brassicaceae. The record is from RNAcentral.